This 8363-nucleotide long non-coding RNA is filed under the name Triticum aestivum (bread wheat). RNAcentral's name for it is "long non-coding RNA (TAES_LNC000011)". The record is from RNAcentral. Lineage: Eukaryota; Viridiplantae; Streptophyta; Magnoliopsida; Poales; Poaceae.
UCGAUUACAUAAAGGGAUCAUAAAGCAAAACUCAAAACUAGAUCAUACUAAAACUUUUAUUCUACUAGAUCAAGAUAAUACUAAAAAGGAUCGAAGUAAGAAAAACGGUAAAGAUAGGAGAUGUGGUGGUGAUACGAUACCAGGGCACCUCCCCCAAGCUUGGCAGUUGCCAAGGGGAGUGCCCAUACCCAUGUGACGCCCGGAUAAUCAAGCUACAGUAACCUCUGCUAAUGAUGCCACGUCACCUCGAUUACUGUUGCUAAUCUCGCGUUAGUUCGAAACCGAUUCAAAAUUCAAAUUCAAAAAUAUGGCAAACAACAAAAGUUUUCAAGCAUUAGAACAAAAGUGUUCGGUUAGUGCCAAAUAUUGCAUAGGUAAUUGUUGUGAAGAAAACACAUAUUUAGAAAAUGCUAAGAUGCCCUAAAUUUAAAUAAAACAGAAAAGGGAAAUAAAUAAAAGAAAAGAAAAUACAAAAACAGAAAACAAAGCUAACAGAGAGAAAAAAAGGCCCCUGCCCCACUGGACCAAACGGCCUAGCUGGCCGUCGGCCCACGCCAGCCGGCCCACUUCCCCUCCCCUGUCGUCUUCCCCUUUCUCCUGUUUGACCGACCCGCGCGAGCGGUCGCCAUCGAACCCGCUCGUCGCCACGCGCCUCGCCGAAGAGGGGAUAAGGAUCCCCUCCCUCCUUGUCGCCUCGAUCCCCUCUUCCCCCGCACUUGCACCUCUCCUCCCCCAGAUCCACCUCUCCCUCUGCUUCGUUUUGGAGAGGAGACCGACGCGGUCGCCGCCGUUCUCCGUCGUCACCGCGGCCACAGCCAGCGCCUUGCUCCACCGUCUUGACGUGAAGUUCCGCCGGGGUCGACUCCGUCGUCUGGUGCCCUCAGGUGGAGCUGGAAAGCACCGCAGCCGCUGUUCGUCCUCGUCCCCAUCUCCGGCUGUCGUCGAUCUUCUUCGUCUCCGGCGCCGCCCCUGCAGCUCCUAAACCGCCACCGAGCCUCCUUGUGCUCCGCGGUGAGCUCUCCUUCCUCCCCGCUGUCUUCUCCUCGCCCCCAACGUGCCCGUAGCUGCCGUCUCGUACGUGCCUGAGCCCAUCACCGCGGGGGCUCAGCGCCGACAAGCUUCCGGCGACCAAAUGGUCCCGCGCUAGUGCCCGUUUAGCUCGCCCACGCACGUAGGACCUCGCUCCCCCCUUUACCUCGCCCGUUUGCGCACUUCUGCUGCUAAUCCACUUCCACCCGAAAGCCACCGCCGCCCACACUCAUCGCCGGCGCAGUUCCGGUCUCCCCCGAGUCCAACCGACCGCACCACGAGGCGCGGCAUCGAGUCCUUGUUCAAAUGCAACAAACCGCGUGCGAUUUGGUGUCUUGUGGCGCUUUUCCGAGCAUCUCCGGCGAUCUGCCGUCGUGCGCGAGCUCGCCGGAGCUCCUCCGCCGCCGCCGCUGACCUGGCAAGCGUAGGGCCCACCCCGGUGAGGCUGACCGUGGGCCCCAGCGCCUCAGUUGACCGCGUUGACUACGGUCAACGCGGGCACUGUUCACCCCCUGCCACUGACUUGUGGGCCCUUGCGCUUAAUUAAGAUAAUUAAGUUUUUCAAACUAAUCUGCUAAUUAGAAUACUCACUGACACAUCGGGCCCACACCCCUAAUUAACCCUGUGUGAACAAUUAAUCCACUGUUAACCCACAGAGGCUGACAUGUGGGUCCCUGUGGCCCCACUGGUCAAUUUGACCUGGUCAGCCGUCCUGUUGACUGCUGACGUCACAGUGAUGUCAUGCUGGCGUAGUAUUCCUUUUCUGUUAAUAUUAAUAAUUCCACAUAAUGCUUUAAUCUUUGAAAAUUCAUAGAAAUUAAACCGUAACUCGGAUGCAAAUGUUUUCUACAUGAAAGUUGCUCAGAAAAAUCAAACGAAUCCGAAUAUGCGGUUCGUUCAUCUGUCACAUGCCCCUAGUAGGCUGAACAUGGAACAUUCCCCCUCUGGUCAUCUGUCUGACACAGGUCCGGAACCGGGAAUACAUUCCCGGUUGAAUUCCCCCAUCACCUAUAUCGUGUAGACAUACGUUAGGUCACACCCGGCACAGCUUAUUGCCACGUUAUGCUUUGUGUGGCUAUGUUUGCUUUAUAUUACUGUUUCUUCCCCCUCUUCUCUCCGGUAGACCGCGAGACCGAUGCUGCCCCUGUGUUCAACUACGGUGUUGACAACCCCUCCUUUCCAGAACAACCAGGCAAGCCCCCCCUUGAUCACCAGAUAUCGCCUAUUCCUUUUCUAUACUGCUUGCAUUAGAGUAGUGUAGCAUGUUACUGCUUUCGGUUAAUCCUAUUCUGAUGCAUAGCCUGUCAUUGUUGCUACAGUCGUUACCCUUACCUGCUAUCCUACUGCUUAGUAUAGUAUGCUAGUGUUCCAUCAGUGGCCCUACACUCUUGUCCGUCUGCCAUGCUAUACUACUGGGCCGUGAUCACUCGGGAGGUGAUCACGGGCAUAUGAUAUAUACUUUAUACUGUUACAUUACUUAUGAUACUGUUCGGAGAUGGGGGCUGAAGGGGCAGGUGGCUCCAUCCCGGUAGAGGUGGGCCUGGGUUCCCGACAGCCCCCGACUGUUACUUUGUGGCGGAGCGACAGGGCAGGUUGAGACCACCUAGGAGAGAGGUGGGCCUGGCCCUGGUCGGCGUUCGCGGAUACUUAACACGCUUAACGAGAUCUUGGUAUUUGAUCUGAGUCUGGCCAUUUGGUCUAUACGCACUAACCAACUACGCGGGAACAGUUAUGGGCACUCAGCGUCGUGGUACGAGCCGAAGCCUUCGUGACGUCAGCGACUGAGCGGCGCGCGCUGGAUUGGACUGGAAUGCCUGCUAGGCUAGGUCUGCUUGCGGCCGCCCUCGCAACGUGCAGGUGUGCAAUGGGCGAUGGGCCCAGACCCUUGCGCCAUAGGAUUUAGACCGGCGUGCUGACCUCUCUGUUGUGCCUAGGUGGGGCUGCGAGGUCUUGAUCUUCCGAGGCCGGGCAUGACCCAGGAAAGUGUGUCCGGCCAAAUGGGAUCGAGCGUGUUGGGUUAUGUGGUGCACCCCUGCAGGGAAGUUUAUCUAUUCGAAUAGCCGUGUCCCUCGGUAAAAGGACGACCCAGAGUUGUACCUUGACCUUAUGACAACUAGAACUGGAUACUUAAUAAAACACACCCUUCCAAGUGCCAGAUAGAACCCGGUGAUCGCUCUCUAACAGGGCGACGAGGAGGGGAUCGCCGGGUAGGAUUGUGCUAUGCGAUGUUACUUGGUGAACUUACCAUCUACUCUCUUCUACAUGCUGCAAGAUGGAGGUGGCCAGAAGCGUAGUCUUCGACAGGAUUAGCUAUCCCCCUCUUAUUCUGGCAUUCUGCAGUUCAGUCCACCGAUAUGGCCCUUUACACAUAUACCCAUGCAUAUGUAGUAUAGCUCCUUGCUUGCGAGUACUUUGGAUGAGUACUCACGGUUGCUUUUCUCCCUCUUUUCCCCUUUCUAUACCUGGUUGUCGCAACCAGAUGCUGGAGUCCAGGAGCUAGAGAUCCCGAGGAUGAUUCUACGUGGAGUUCGGCUUUGAGGAGUAGUUAGGAGGUCCCAGGCAGGAGGCCUGGCCUUUUUGACCGUUGCUACUUUUGUGCUAGCCUUCUUAAGGCAAUCUUGUUUAACUUAUGUCUGUACUCAGAUAUUAUUGCUUCCGCCGACUCUUGUGUAUUCGAGCUUAUGUAUUCGAGCCUUCGAGGCCCCUCGCUUGUAAUAUAAAGCUUGUAUUAUUUUAAUUUGUGUCUAGAGUUGUGUUGUGAUAUCUUCCUGUGAGUCCUUGAUCUUGAUCAUACACAUUUGCGUGUAUGAUUAGUGUACGAUUGAAUCAGGGGCGUCACAAGUUGGUAUCAGAGCCGACUGCCUGUAGGAAUCCCCCUUCCACACUCCUUGGCUGAAGUCGAGUCUAGUCACUACAAAACUUUUACUAACAUGGCUGUGCGGCCCAUGGGCCCACAUCGCCUUUGGGUGGUAUUAGGAUCUUUUACUCCUCGACCUUUACUCUGGGACUCUGAUCUCUCCUCUAUUAGGGUUAAAUGAUUUUACUAACACCGACUCUAGGUUCUCGUAACUACUUCCUGCUGGUGAGCCCCUUCAUUACAGAUGAUCGACCGCUUCAACAGAAGAUUCUGACAAUACUCUCCGUUGUUCUCCCGAGACUUUGUGCCAUCGCUUUUGCAAUUCCCUUCCAUCGAUAAACCCUAUGGAUAAUCACGUACACUUGCCAUUCAUACAAUGAUUCCCCGUUGAUCUUGUUAUUACAAGAUACCUCGAAAUUCUCUCUAUUGUUUCGACAAUACUUUGUGCCUACUGCCUUACAAUUCUUAGCCACAUGAAUACCCCUACGGUUAAUUCCUCGCACUUAUCGAGUAUCCGCUCAUUCCCAGUUGUUCAUGUGUUUCACGAAAGUCUUCGAGAUACUAUUCGAUCUGUCGAAAAUCCUAAGCAGUCUAUUGCUCUUGAAAUUCUUGCUUGCUUGCAUUAUGUUUAAUCCCAUAAGUCUCGUAAUCUUAUUGGCAUCCCUUGUCAUUAUCAUUUUGAGUCCGUUAAUUCAAUUUGUUGCGAAUGCUCGCAAUCCUCAAUCAGAUCCUAGAAUUCAUUCUUCCGGCCCAGACAUCAUUUGGAUAUGAGCUGGUUCUUGACCAAUCAAUGCCUUGAUCGGUUGUAUCCCUAAGCCUAUUCAGCUUAUCCAUCCUAAUCAGAGCAUUGCUUCUGAUCCCUUGUCUUGGAAUUCAUAAUUCCUUUGCAUUUAAGCUUUGAGUUAGUCAGUUGUUUCUAUAAUCCGAUGCACUUGCAUUCCUUCUUCCUUUGAUAGAGUACCGAUACUCACAUCAGCUCCGUUGUAGACCACCGGACCUCUUGUUGGAUUAUUAUCCGACAGUGUCCUUCAUAUUCAAAUAACCUUGUGAGUCUUUCCACGGAUAUAUAAAGCCUUGUGUAAAUUGUAUCCUCUGUUUUCUCAACCAUGCUCUGUUUUCGAGCUGGUGGUAUUUACUAUUGAAGCUUGUGGUAUAUGUUUCCACGAUACCCUGACGGGUUGAACCUAUGCCUUCCUUAAUAUGUGUGAACUCGGAAGUUUUCACGAGUCAUACUCAUCUGGUAUUUCACCAGGUAAAACUUUCAACACUAAUGCCUUUAUCAAAGCGAGAAGUGAAUGGAAGGUUAUACAUUUAAGAAGUGGGAGUCGACCUUGAACCUUGCGUUCAUGCCCAUGGACACGAUGUAUAACUUAUCAUGGAAGCUGCUUGUAAAAAUAAUUACCCCCUUGUUAUAAGUUCAUCUUGUAUCCGUGGUUCGAUCAUUUAUGAUCGUGGUUCCAACCAUAUUUUCUACUUGAUCCCAAUUCUCAAGCAAGUGAAAACACUUGUCUUCUGCGGAUCAAUACAUCUCCGCAACCCCUAUGUCAAUCUUCCUUCGAGUAAUACCCUCCAGUAUCUCGAGAAUAUCAAUGAACUGUGUUGCUUCCUACGAGUCUUCAUCUAUUAUUGCUUCUCACCGAUUUCAGAUUUCCCCUGGGUUCUGAGUUAUUUCACUCGAGAACACCGAUAAGUGAAUCGAUUCCGCACUCCGAUUCAAUAACUCUAAGUAAUUUUCAUUGCUUACCAGUUUAAUAAUCCUUCAAGUCAUUCCUAGCCUGAUCGACUAUAUCAUUGUGCUAAAUUUUAACUGUGCUACCUGGUCCUUAACCCUGGAGCACAACUUUCGAUGAUGAGCUAAGCUUACGCCGAUCUUCCUCUCAUACCAUUUCACCUUGAACAACAAGCUUGAUUUCAAGUUUGUGUCCUACCCAUGGUUCCAAUAACUGUCUGCUUCAUCAUUCCUUUGACUUGAUGUCGUUGCUGAUUGAUUACAUCUUCAUGAAAUCUCUCGACAAAUGUGUCGUGAUCAUCAUCAACCUUAUGCGCUCUUCCAGGAUAUCGAUUGAGUUCAUGAUGAGAAAUACCGUCCUUGCCCUCGAUGAUCUGUGUUAUCAUCGACCACUUUAUUGCCUUCCCACCAACACAAACUUGUUCGUGUUUGGUGUUAUACCUUGAGUUCCUUGCUAUCCAGCAAUUGUUCUUCUUUACCUUGGAAGAUUAACAUCUCUUUUGUCCUCAAUGUUGUGAGAAUUUCACCACCUCUUAAGAAAUCUUGGUAUGGUGAUACUUCUCACCAUCACCAUUCCUUCUUGGGUCCUCGUGUUGAUUCCAACCGGGGUACCAACAAGUGAGCGGUGCUAUUUGGAUCCUGCCCUUCUAGCAACCCUAUUGCUUUGAAGUUAAUGGUCGGCCGUUCAUUCUUAGACUAUUGAUUAUUGAAUCACCAUUCCGACGUUGGUCGUGCAACCCAGCCAAUAUUUCGGGUGCACCUUUCAACCAAUGUUUAAUUGUGUAUGUUUUCCUCGAGCACACAUCAUUAUACCAUUUGUUCUGACAAAUGUUAUCUCCUUGUUCACAUAGUUGUGGAAAUCCAUCUUUUGUUAAUCUCGAUGAAUUGUCGCUGAUUCCAUCAGCCACCUCCUCAUCCUCUCAUUGGUUUACUGAUGAACUCUUGUUUCGGAACUCGCUUCCAUAGUUCAUUUCCCGAGAAUCUUACAAUGUCAUCUCGUCAAAUUGUGCCGCACCUUUUCUUCUCAGGCAUCCUAAGUCUGAGGUAUCGUGACACCAAUCAGAUCUGAAUCUCGGUCAGAUGUGAUGGUUGGAACAUAUUUCCAAGAGUUAUAAUGUUGGUCUUUAUAUGACCCGGUAAGGUUAUGUCAUGCAUAGCACACCUGGCCGGAGGACCUAUUGUUAUAGCUUCCUUUUUAGCAAGGUUACCCAUUCUUCCAUGAGGAAAUUGUCAGACUUAUUCUACAAGUUGUUCCUGAUGGAUCCUUCCUCUAUCCAAAGUCUGACCUUUGCUUGAAGACCAUGUCAAUGCUAUCUGAACCAUGUCUGUGCUAAUCCGAUUUUCAAUAAGAGCAUUUGAAGCACAAUGCUAAAUUUUCUUUAUCAUUUAUCCUAACACCGUUGUAUGGGUAAUAUCAUGAGAUUCCUCCCCCCUUACCUAAAUGGGUUUCUACUUUCUAUCCUGUCAUGGAUAUCUUGCUCCGCUUGUCCUUGGGAAGGAUAUACCCUCGAAAUAUGUGUGUAUACACAUUUUCCUUUCCAUUGUUCUGAUUAAUCUGAUAAUCGUAUUUUCCUUUCUAUUGUUUUGUUUAACCUUUCUGGUAAUCUGACUUAACUAAGCAGUGAUAAUUCCCUUCUUAGUUAAGAACCUUGUGGUACCACGCUGUUAGUAAGACCCUGUUACUAUUGUUGAUGACAUUCCGGUAACCGCCGAUGGACGAGAACUUUGCCUAUUGGUCUGCCUCGUUCAACGAGCAGGAAAAUGGUUCUCUUCGUCCCUCGCCCUUGGUAUUGAUGUUGUUGUCGACAUAACUGGUAGGCUAUCCUCUGACAUGCCUUGCUAUCAUGACCGUGCAAGAGGUCAGCGCCCUUCCUACUCUUAACCCACAUGGUGGGCCCAUAACCCAAAGUUCCACAGGAUCGAAACCUGACUCUCCUGUACACCUUGUUGUCAAAGUUAUUCCUCACGCUUGGCUUCGUAUGCAGAUCAUGAGCCACAUUCGUAGAGAUCAUCAAUUCUGGUAUCUAACACAAUAUGUAAUCCGUUGCUCUGAACCCCUUUCACGCCCUAUUUCAGGCAUCGAACGAUUGCAUGCCUGCUCGAAACUUCCCAUGACACCUCCUUACUUUGCUCUCGAUAUAUUCUUAAGUUUCAAUUCGAGAGUUACUUUCCGCCACCUUCCCCGAUGUUAUCGACCCGAUAGUCAACCUUGCCGAGGUUCGUUCUCCCGGAAUACCCACCCUUUAUUCUUUCGUAAGUACGAUAGAGUUCCCGAAGGAAGGAUGCCGACUUCAUCAUGAUGACCUGAAGCAGAGGAAUGAAGACAUCAACGUAAUGGGUCGACCUCUUGAGAAAAGCAACCAAGAUCGAGAAGAUUCGUUAGAAUUUCGUAACCAGAUCUUUCCCCGUUACUCCACCCCGUAAAAUCUCGGGAUGAGAUUUCUUGUAGUGGAGGAGAAUUGUGACGCCUGGAUAAUCAAGCUACAGUAACCUCUGCUAAUGAUGCCACGUCACCUCGAUUACUGUUGCUAAUCUCGCGUUAGUUCGAAACCGAUUCAAAAUUCAAAUUCAAAAAUAUGGCAAACAACAAAAGUUUUCAAGCAUUAGAACAAAAAUGUUCGGUUAGUGCCAAAUAUUGCAUAGGUAAUUGUUGUGAAGAAAACACAUAUUUAGAAAAUGCUAAGAUGCCCUAAAUUUAAAUAAAACAGAAAAGGGAAAUAAAUAAAAGGAAAGAAAAUACAAAAACAG